CAGCACUGUGGGGUGUAGAGCAGUCAUGCCAGGUCACCUCAGCCUGUCACCUGCCUCCCAGCCUUCUCCUUUCGUUCCCCCUCCCACUUCCCACAGCUUCCACCUGCCUUUUGCUCUUCUCCCAUCCCCAUUUCCCUAGACUCCUGUUGGAGGGGGAUGACCCAGUUCUCUUGAUUUUUCACUUGGUGGUAAGUAAGGAAUCUCUAAGGAAACAAAGCGAGAAUUGCCCAUCUCUAAGUCACUGUCAUCAGAACCUGGUCCAGGCGUCCACACUUGUGCCUUCUACUACUUUUCCCCAGUGCUUUGGAUCAGGCCCUGAGUGUGGGUGCCUUACCUUGAGAGAAAGCAGAGUCUGCAGGCCCAGGCAGAAUUCAGGACUCUCAACAUCUGCAGGAACCAUUUGAAAACAGAAGAGGCUGAAGGUGCCCUGUGGUCACUGGUGCCCUCUUCUCAGCCCUUGCUCCUUCUCUGCCCACCCCAUCCCCAGGUUCAAGGAUGUUGGCACAGAGAUAAGGGAUAGUCAGAACAUUUCUGGGGACUCCUUUUGCCAGAGGGGCUGAAAGUCUCUGCCUUUGGCCCACCCUGAAGAGAAAGGUGAGAGGCGUCUUUGGAUCACACUGUGUGGCUGCUGGCUCCAUCACAAAACAAUGAAGAUCCCAGGGUUGGUGGUGUGAUGAAAAGAAGUAAGAAAUUGAAGAACUAGGCCGGGCGCAGUGGCUCACGCCUGCAAUCCCAGCACUUUGGGAGGCCGAGAAAUUAGCUGGGCAUGGUGAUGCAUGC
Molecule: long non-coding RNA, 780 nt
Organism: Cebus imitator (Panamanian white-faced capuchin)
Lineage: Eukaryota; Metazoa; Chordata; Mammalia; Primates; Cebidae
Exons: 4
Source: RefSeq, a predicted model, not a curated record